GGUAAGGUGUCUGAGAAUUAAGUAGCGGGUUGUAGCUCCGCGGACAGAGGCUAAAUUCCUCUUCUUACCA
RNAcentral lists this transfer RNA (70 nucleotides) under Cetorhinus maximus. Its description in RNAcentral is "tRNA-Tyr". It matches the Rfam family "tRNA". Rfam says of the family: Transfer RNA (tRNA) molecules are approximately 80 nucleotides in length. Their secondary structure includes four short double-helical elements and three loops (D, anti-codon, and T loops). Further hydrogen bonds mediate the characteristic L-shaped molecular structure. tRNAs have two regions of fundamental functional importance: the anti-codon, which is responsible for specific mRNA codon recognition, and the 3' end, to which the tRNAs corresponding amino acid is attached (by aminoacyl-tRNA synthetases). tRNAs cope with the degeneracy of the genetic code in two manners: having more than one tRNA (with a specific anti-codon) for a particular amino acid; and 'wobble' base-pairing, i.e. permitting non-standard base-pairing at the 3rd anti-codon position. The record is from RNAcentral. Lineage: Eukaryota; Metazoa; Chordata; Chondrichthyes; Lamniformes; Cetorhinidae.